GACGAACGCUGGCGGCGUGCUUAACACAUGCAAGUCGAACGGUGAAAGAGGAGCUUGCUCCUCUGGAUCAGUGGCGAACGGGUGAGUAACACGUGAGUAACCUGCCCCAGACUCUGGAAUAACCCCGGGAAACCGGAGCUAAUACCGGAUACGAGACAGAGAGGCAUCUCUACUGUCUGGAAAGUUUUUCGGUCUGGGAUGGACUCGCGGCCUAUCAGCUUGUUGGUGAGGUAACGGCUCACCAAGGCGACGACGGGUAGCCGGCCUGAGAGGGCGACCGGCCACACUGGGACUGAGACACGGCCCAGACUCCUACGGGAGGCAGCAGUGGGGAAUAUUGCACAAUGGGCGAAAGCCUGAUGCAGCGACGCCGCGUGAGGGAUGACGGCCUUCGGGUUGUAAAAACCUUUUAUGAGGGAGAAAGUUAUUGAUAGUACCUCAUGAAUAAGGAGUUGCUAAACUCGUGCCAGCAGCCGCGGUAA
RNAcentral lists this ribosomal RNA (482 nucleotides) under uncultured bacterium. RNAcentral describes it as "partial 16S ribosomal RNA". It matches the Rfam family "Bacterial small subunit ribosomal RNA", at positions 28 to 523 of the family's 1533-position model. The record is from RNAcentral.